UUGACCUACGGGAGGCAGCAGUGGGGAAUAUUGGACAAUGGGGGAAACCCUGAUCCAGCGACGCCGCGUGAGUGAAGAAGUAUUUCGGUACGUAAAGCUCUAUCAGCAGGAAAGAAAAUGACGGUACCUGACCAAGAAGCCCCGGCUAACUACGUGCCAGCAGCCGCGGUAAUACGUAGGGGGCAAGCGUUAUCCGGAAUUACUGGGCGUAAAGGGAGCGUAGACGGUUAAGUAAGUCUGGAGUGAAAGGCCGGGGCCCAACCCCGGGACUGCUCUGGAAACUAUUGAACGUGAG
RNAcentral lists this ribosomal RNA (295 nucleotides) under uncultured bacterium. RNAcentral describes it as "partial 16S ribosomal RNA". It matches the Rfam family "Bacterial small subunit ribosomal RNA", at positions 332 to 646 of the family's 1533-position model. The record is from RNAcentral.